GCCCCGGUCGUCUAGCGGUCUAGGAUACAGGCCUGUCACGCCUGAGGUUCUUACACCGGCGAAUGACCCGGGUUCAAAUCCCGGCCGGGGCG
The sequence is a transfer RNA, 92 nucleotides long. It matches the Rfam family "tRNA". From Rfam's summary of the family: Transfer RNA (tRNA) molecules are approximately 80 nucleotides in length. Their secondary structure includes four short double-helical elements and three loops (D, anti-codon, and T loops).